Marasmius tenuissimus is the source of this 102-nucleotide non-coding RNA. The record is from the annotation of a GenBank genome assembly. NCBI's taxonomy places the organism in Eukaryota, Fungi, Basidiomycota, Agaricomycetes, Agaricales, Marasmiaceae.
GGCGCUAUAGCCAAGUGGUUACGGCGACAGAUUCGAAUGCCACUGAGUUCGCUUUUCAUCUGUUCCUCUUUGAGGGCGCAGGUUCAAAUCCUGCUGGCGUCG